Molecule: ribosomal RNA, 838 nt
Filed under: Neonectria punicea
Lineage: Eukaryota; Fungi; Ascomycota; Sordariomycetes; Hypocreales; Nectriaceae
Description: partial large subunit ribosomal RNA
Rfam family: Eukaryotic large subunit ribosomal RNA
Source: RNAcentral
CCAACAGGGAUUGCCCUAGUAACGGCGAGUGAAGCGGCAACAGCUCAAAUUUGAAAUCUGGCCCCCGGGUCCGAGUUGUAAUUUGUAGAGGAUGCUUUUGGUGCGGUACCUUCCGAGUUCUCUGGAACGAGACGCCAUAGAGGGUGAGAGCCCCGUCUGGUUGGACGCCAAACCUUUGUAAAGCUCCUUCGACGAGUCGAGUAGUUUGGGAAUGCUGCUCUAAAUGGGAGGUAUAUGUCUUCUAAAGCUAAAUAUUGGCCAGAGACCGAUAGCGCACAAGUAGAGUGAUCGAAAGAUGAAAAGCACUUUGAAAAGAGAGUUAAAAAGUACGUGAAAUUGUUGAAAGGGAAGCGCUCAUGACCAGACUUGGGCCCGGUUGAUCAUCCAGGGUUCUCCCUGGUGCACUCUUCCGGCCCAGGCCAGCAUCAGUUCGCUGUGGGGGAUAAAGGCUUCGGGAAUGUGGCUCCCUCGGGAGUGUUAUAGCCCGUCGUGCAAUACCCUGCGGCGGACUGAGGUUCGCGCAUUCGCAAGGAUGCUGGCGUAAUGGUCAUCAGCGACCCGUCUUGAAACACGGACCAAGGAGUCGUCUUCGUAUGCGAGUGUUCGGGUGUCAAACCCCUACGCGUAAUGAAAGUGAACGCAGGUGAGAGCUUCGGCGCAUCAUCGACCGAUCCUGAUGUUCUCGGAUGGAUUUGAGUAAGAGCAUACGGGGCCGGACCCGAAAGAAGGUGAACUAUGCCUGUAUAGGGUGAAGCCAGAGGAAACUCUGGUGGAGGCUCGCAGCGGUUCUGACGUGCAAAUCGAUCGUCAAAUAUGGGCAUGGGGGCGAAAGACUAAU